This is a long non-coding RNA of Argiope bruennichi, 2744 nucleotides long. RefSeq lists it as uncharacterized. The record is from RefSeq and is a predicted model, not a curated record. The transcript is spliced from 4 exons. NCBI's taxonomy places the organism in Eukaryota, Metazoa, Arthropoda, Arachnida, Araneae, Araneidae.
UCAGCGUUGGUUAGACUGAGUAGACCAUAUUUGUUUGGAAGACGUAUUAAUUUCUUACUUACUCGUAAACUUGAUAAAUAUUGAUUAUCGAUUAUAUCCAAGUGCUUGAAGGAUAAAUUUAUUAUGCCGGGACCGACAGAAAAGCCGUCAGUUGAUAAAGAUAAAGAUAAAGCUAAAGAGCACGAGGAGAUUAUGAAUCAAGCUUACCAGAACAUUCUGGAUGAAUUGAUUGAUCAUGUGAUAAUGAAUGUAAUUUUGAAAGCUCAACCAGCUUAAUUUUUUGGAAUUAUGAAGAUUAGAAAUUAAUUGAACAGCAAGAGAAAGAAUGAAUUUGGUACUUUCUCUGAACGGUAACAGACAAGACGAUUACUCAUCAUCACUAUCAAAAUUUGCACCUUUGAAUCCAGUUGUAUAUGGAAAAUGGGUUUAUCUUGUAAUUCGCCUUUUGGAUUAUUUUACCAGUGUUACAAUUGGUCAUACAAAUAGAAAUUCAUUAUAUUUUCGAUGCCAGUUAAAUUAUGUGCUUCAAACAUUUUUGUGUUUUGUAAACUGUUUUCUGCUUUAAAAUAUUAACAUUUUUUUCAUGUUAUUAAGUUAAAACUAUGAUUGUUAUAUAAUGGCAGAUAGUCCUUGUCCAAGUACUUGAACAAAAUGAUUUCUUUUUUUUUAUAUAUAAUAAAACUUUGUGUUAUAUAAUGGCAGAUAGUUCUUGUACAAGUACUUGGAACAAAAUUUCUUUUUUUUUUAUAAUAAAACUUUGUGUUCUGUAAAUGUGUUAUACAUAUGUAUGAAAUUGAAGUUCCGUUAAUUGAAUUCUCUUGUCCAUUCAAUGACAAUGUUAACAUUAUUUUAAAAAUUUCUGUUCAUAUGUGUUCAAAAUAAUUUUUAGUGAGUUUUAAACUUUGAAUCAUUAGUUUAUUACAUUAUGGACUAGCCGCCUUUGGCGACCAGGCGGUUCGCCAAUCUUAAUGCUCGUUAAAAUUUUAAUAAUUAAAUAUUUUAUGUAAUUCCUACUUUAAUAGCUUCUUUAUUAAAAUAUUUUAAAACUUCAAAUUUCAAUUCACUCAUAAUAUUAUAAAGGCCUUCAGUCAUAACGUAAUCUGUAUCUCUCUAAUUUUCUGUUAGCUCCCGUAGAAUUUAUGCUUUAAAUUUAAGUGGAAAUGAUUAAUUUGCAAUUAAUAUAAUAAUAUUUUUUACUGAAACAAAGCUUUUUUUUUUUUUUUUUUGUAAUGAUUACUGAAAACAGAGUCACUGAGCAUUUAAACCUUAUGGGCACUAAAGAAUAUCUUUCUUAAUUUAUGUAAUAUCUAAAGAAUUUGUCAACAAAAUUUUUUCAGAUUCAUCAUGAGCAGGUCUAUUAAUUAACAAUGUUUAGUUUUAAAUGCACCAAACACUAAGAAAAUAAACAGAAUCUUUUAAAAUAAUCGGUAAACAGGUAAAAAAAAACAUGUAACUUCGAAAACAGGUUAAAAAAAAUUAUUUAAAAAGCGAUGAACUUAAACUAACAUAAAUACAAUUUAAUUGCAAAAGCAUACAACUAACCUAAAAAUAAUUUAAAUCAAGUCCGCUUCCGUUGAAAAUAGAUGUAAACAAUCAGAACACAAUGCGCAUGCGUGAAUUUUCAACGCCAGUUAUGGUAACGCAAAUGCGUGAAUUUUACUACGCCAGUUGGGGUGCAGAUAGAGGCCGCGGUGGCCUGGUGGUAAGGUCUUGGCUCGUGAGCCGUUAAGUUUCAGGUAUGAGACCCGAUUCCACCGAAGAACCGUCGUGUAAGGGGGUCUGUUGCACGCUAAAUCCGUCAGGCCAAACGUCCUCCCGCUGGUGUGGUGUGGUGUGGAGAGGGGGGUACCAGCUCAGGUGUCGUCCUCGUCAUCUGACCACGGUUCAAAAUUACGAGUUCCGUCCCUAAAUAGCCCUAGUGUUGCUUUACAACAGAACGUUAAUAUAACUAAACAAGCGCUAUGCAGAUUAGAAAUUUUUAAUUUCCUUUAUUCUGUUUUAUUUUAAUUCAAAAGUACUUCAGAAUGAAUCUGAAAGAUCGAUUAAUUAACAACGUUUAAUUUUAAAUGCAUCAAACAUUCAGAAAAUAAACAGAAUCGUUUGAAAUAAUCGGCCUAAAAAUGUUAAGCCUAAGCCUCAUUAGCAUGAGAAAAAAAUGCUGAAACCUUACUCAUUUGGCGAUGGGGAAAUGAAGAUAUUUUUUUGGCGGGAAAAUUAGUUUUUGAUUAAUAAUUAAAAUUCUAUUUAAAAUUUCAAAAAAAAGGGACCCUGGGUACACAUUCCCGACCUCCAAGGUAUACACGUACCAAAUUUGGCAGCUGUAGGUCAGAUGGUCAUUUCUGUAGAGCGCCAACACACACACACACAUUGAGCUUUAUAUAAGUAUAGAUAAUAAUUGAAAUGUUUUUGAUAAUAUUUUUGUACUCUGGAAUUAUCAGAGAUUUCAAUGAAUUUUUAUUCAAUGCAUGAAGAAUGAAUUUUAGGCUUAUUUCAUAAUUUAAUUCAUUGAAUAAUCUGGUACAUAAUCAAAAUUACAAUGUAAGUGCUCUAUUGUUCUGCUGUCAAUGUACUGCUCUAAAACUAAGCAGAAUGUGAAUUCAUUAUAAAUCCACUUUCAGAUAUAUCAUAAUGUUUUUUACCCUUGUUGUUUGCUAAACUUUCCAUUUAAAAACUCCAUCAACGGAAUUAUGCAUCUUUCAUUGUGUAUUGGAAUUUCAUUUUUGUCAUGUGUAUGAGAUUAACAA